Molecule: ribosomal RNA, 453 nt
Filed under: uncultured bacterium
Lineage: Bacteria
Description: bacterial SSU rRNA
Rfam family: Bacterial small subunit ribosomal RNA
Source: RNAcentral
UCGUCAGCUCGUGUCGUGAGAUGUUGGGUUAAGUCCCGCAACGAGCGCAACCCCUGUCCUGUGUUGCCAGCAUGUAAAGAUGGGAACUCACAGGAGACUGCCGCGGAGAACGCGGAGGAAGGCGGGGAUGACGUCAAGUCAUCAUGCCCCUUAUGACCUGGGCUACACACGUACUACAAUGGGGCGUACAGAGGGCAGCGAAGGAGCGAUCCGGAGCGAAUCCCAGAAAACGCCUCCCAGUUCGGAUUGCAGGCUGAAACCCGCCUGCAUGAAGUCGGAAUCGCUAGUAAUCGCAGGUCAGCAUACUGCGGUGAAUACGUUCCCGGGCCUUGUACACACCGCCCGUCACACCACGGAAGUCAUUCACACCCGAAGCCGGUGGGCUAACCGCAAGGAAGUAGCCGUCUAAGGUGGGGGCGAUGACUGGGGUGAAGUCGUAACAAGGUAGCCGUA